This 29464-nucleotide long non-coding RNA is filed under the name Eucalyptus grandis. RNAcentral's name for it is "long non-coding RNA (EGRA_LNC000088)". The record is from RNAcentral. Lineage: Eukaryota; Viridiplantae; Streptophyta; Magnoliopsida; Myrtales; Myrtaceae.
GUGAUCAUAUGAGGAAUGACACUGCCAUUUUCCAUCAGCUGCAACAACAUAUGAUGGGUCAAUUAAAUGCCAGAUACUUUCACAGUUUGCGGAGCAGUUGAUAAGAUUGCCCCCUUAAAAGUGAAUCAACUCUGUAUUCCGAUUUAUCUGAAAGAAGGAUAGCAGUCAGUCAAAAGACAAGAGAGUCACAAGAAUAAUCGAGCACUUCAAAUCACGAGAUAAAACGAUAUAAAAAAACUCCUCUUACUUAACAAUUUCAUGUCCUGAUGUUGUAUUACCCUCAACAUGCCAUCAGCAGCAAAAGCAUAAACAGGAUGAAAUGGAAUUGUUAACAUUGUAUUAAAUCAUCGACAGGCAAAAUGAUAUCUUGAGAAUAAUAACAUGAAGUACUGCCAAAGAGCUCAACAGUAAAUUACAAAAUGACAUGAUUUGCUUGCUUGGACAAGCUUGUAACUGAAGAAAAUAAAAUAUUGGCUAUUACUCAUAAGGAGAAAAAAGCCAACUACAAAGAUGAUUCUGCUUGAACAAGAAAGAUAGAACUUCACAAGAUCAAUGAAGGAUUGGACUGAUUGAUGUGGAGAACAGGCUUGUUAUGCUCUUCUCAAUUUCCUCCUCAACUUGGAUGCCUUCACUACAAUGAUCACGUAGAUCAUGUCUAUUUUACGAUCCACAUAGUCAAAGUACAUGUGUCUCCAAUUCUUCUUGUACACCAAAACUCCAAUAACUCCCCAAAACCCAGUCGCAAGCCCAAGCAUUAUGACUACGCAGAACAUCACCUUUUCAAGCUUACCUUCUUCAUCGGUAUCUUCUUUUGGUGCUUGAGGGGCCUCCACACCUAGGCAUUUCUUUUGUAGAGGAUCGCCACAAAGUAGAGGAUUGUCAGCAUAAAUGGAAGGAUCAUCAAGGGUCUGGAUUUGAUUUCCUCUGGGAAUUGGCCCCGUAAAAUUGUUGUGUGACAAGUUUAGUUUGCUCAAUGAUGUAAACGCAGAAAAGCUUUGUGGGAUUAUUCCUGAAAGGUGAUUAUUCGAAAGAUCCAGUGACUCAAGCGAUUCCAUGUCUCCAAUCAUAGUAGGGAUGCCUCCAGAAAGGAAGUUGCGGGAUAAGUUCAAGCCUCGCAAUUUGGAGAGCAAGGUAAGCUCUUUAGGGAUUGGCCCAAUCAAUCUAUUGCUUGAGAGAUCCAAAUUGACCAUAAGCUGUAGAUCAAGUGUUGUGUAGUCAAGGUCUAUCCCCUUCACGACCUGUUCCACAUGCAUUUGAUUCCAAUUUGUCGGAGGGAUGGCAGUAGGAUUCUCCAAAGGUGCAGGCUCAGAAGCAGGGGAGAGCGAGUUUCCUUCAUAUGUGCUUUUUUGCAGUUUCAUACUUUUCACAUAGCCAAGACAAUUUGGAAUCUUUCCUAUCAAAUUAUUCACUGCUAGGUCCAUUAUUUGCAAUGCGGAGAGUGAGCAUAGCUGUGAAGGAAUACUACCAUUGAACAUGUUUUCUCGCAGUCGAAGAAUCUGUAGAAAUUGAAAGCUUGGUCCAAACCAAUGUGGAACACUUCCAGAGAUUUUGUUCUCGCCAAGAUCCAAAAUCACCAAGUUCUUGCAAUUGUUCAUAGUUGCUGGAAUUUCUCCAUGGAGACCAUUGUUAUUCAAGUGUACUGACCGAAGCCCAAUUGAAUUUCCCAAAGAACUUGGUAUGACUCCGGACAAUUUGUUGGAUGAUAAAUCAAGGAGAAUCAUUGGAUUAUCCUGCCAACAUGCAGGGAUUUUGCCUACUAAUUCAUUCCUUCCAAGGUGCAACACUUCCAAUCCUAUCUCGCAGAAUGAGGUUGGCAUUGGACCACUAAAGAGAUUAUCAUUUAGAUACAAGGAAUUCAAAUUAGGCAUCGCCCAGCCAAUAUCAUGUGGAAUAGGUCCUGAGAUUGAGUUGUGAGAGAGAUCUAACGAGUACAAAUUAGAAGAAAAUUUCGGCAUAGAUCCAUUUAUUUGGUUGUAAGAGAGAUUCAAGUAGGAGAACGACAUGAGACCUAGCCAAUUUGGGAGAGCUCCAGUGAUGGAGGCAUUGGACAAAACUAUCUCUGUUGCCUCGACUUGUGAUCUUAUCCAUCGCGGAAAUUCCGUUCCAAACUUGCAAGACACCAUCCGAAUGUACGACAAAUUGAAGGGCGGUAUCCAGUCGGAAUGCACCUCAAAAGCUAUAUUGUUGUUGCUGAUAUCUAAGUAUGAUAGCUUCGACAGGUUGGAGAAGUGGAUUUCAGAAAUUAUUCCUCUCAAGGAAUUUGCUGAAAGAUCUACAUGGAAAAGAUCUUGAAGUUGCCCUAGACUAUGUGGAAUGGUGCCAUUUAGAAGAUUAUUACUGAGAUCUAAAGUUGAUAAGACUUGCGAUCUUCCUAAUGCCUCUGAAAUAUUCCCAGUCAAUUGAUUAUUAGAAAGAACAAGUUCUUCCAAGCAUAGCCAACCAUAUGAUGACGGGAUGGUUCCAUGUAAUUGAUUAUUUGAUAAAUCAAGUAUUUUCAAGUUUUUCAAGUGCACCAACCAAUCUGGCAAAGCUUCCUGAAGAAAAUUAUUACUUAUCUCCAAUCGCUCUAAGUUUUUCCCGAUAAGCCCUGAAGAAUUUCCCUCGACUGAAAAUAUCUCCUCACGGAGUUCAUUAUAAUUCAAAGAUAGUGACUCAAGGAAUGGUUUGUUCAUCAAGAAAGAGAACAAACCUCCUUCAAUGCUUUGCAAAAGAUUUUCUUCUAAAUUGAGAUCAAUAAGACUUCUCAAGUUAUCAAAUGACCUUGGUAUUGAAGAGUUGAAAAGGUUUGAUGCAAGAUCAAGGUGCUGGAGAGAAGUCAUGUGUUGAAAUAUAAUGCUUGGGAUGGGACCACCGAAAGAAUUCCAUGAAAGAUCAAGGUGUAGAAGAGAAGUCAUGCUUUGAAAUAUGGUGCUUGGGAUGGGACCAUAGAUACAAUUAGUUGAAAGAUCAAGGUGCUGGAGAGAAGUCAUGUUUUGAAAUAUAGUGCUUGGGAUGGAACCUUGGAAAGAAUUCCAAGAAAGAUCAAGGUGCCAAAGAGAAGUCAUGUUUUGAAAUAUAGUGCUUGGGAUGGGACCAUGGAUAUAAUUAGUUGAAAGAUCAAGGUGCCGGAGAGAAAUCACAUUUUGAAAUAUAGUGCUUGGGAUGGGACCUUGGAAAGAAUUCCAUGAAAGAGCAAGGUGUUGAAGAGAAGUCAUGUUUUGAAAUAUAGUGCUUGGGAUGGAACCUCUGAACAUAUUCUGCGAAAGAUCAAGGUGCUGAAGAGAAGUCACAUUUUGAUAUAUGGUGCUUGGGAUGGAACCUCUUAACAUAUUCUGCGAAAGAUCAAGGUGCCGAAGAGAAGUCACAUUUUGAAAUAUAGUGCUUCGGAUGGAACCUCCAAACAUAUUAUGUGAAAGAUCCAAGUGCCAAAGAGAAGGCACAUUUUGAAAUAUAGUGCUUGGGAUGGGAUCUUGGAAAGAAUUCCAUGAAAGGUCAAGGUGCCGAAGAGAAGUCAUGUUUUGAAAUAUAGUGCUUGGAAGGGGACCUCGAAUUGAAUUCCAUGAAAGAUCGAGGUACUGAAGAUGAAGAUGAGUAGGCAGGUGAAAGUCAUAAAGCCCGCAACCUGAUAGGCUCAAAUGUGAUAAAGAUGGGAGCAUGCUAAUCACUUGCAUGGGGUCUCCAGAUUUGGCAAUGUUCGAGCCGCUCAUGUCGAGAUACUUUAAUGCUUGAAGAUGCGAAACCCAUUGAAUGUCAUCAACAAAACCCAUGCCAUAAUAAUUAUGGAGAUCGAGGACUUUCAACUGGGUGAAAUUUCCCCAUUCACGCGGAAUAGUUUCAAAACUGGAAGAGUAAGACAAGUUAAGAAACCUCAAUUGCCUCAUCGAGCCAACAUCAUUGAGUAUGUUCACAUUUUUUUUGAAAUGGAUCCCGCUCAACUCUAGGUAGCUCAAGUAUCUCAAGUUCAGCAAAGAAGAGUUCAACUCACUAGCUGUGAAAAUUCCUUUUGAGAUCCGGAGCAUGACGACAUGUCCAUUAGCUGGGUCGCACUUUACUCCGGUCCAUCGACAACAAUCUUCACUGUUCCAAGAAGAAACGAUGUGAGAUGCGUAUGAGAGAUUUUGUCUGAGCUGGAGCAGUGCAUCCCUUUCGUCUUCAAAGCAAAUUGAUGAUGAGCUUCGGUUUCUGCACAAGCAUACACAUGCAUUGCCUAAAAUUAAUAACAGACUUACUAAUACGAGUACUUUCACACUUUCAUGUCCCGCCAUGGAUGAUGACAAUAUUGAAAACAAAAGGUAUAUUGCACAUGAAAGCCACUCGAUUAGGCUUCAAGUUUUUGGCUUGGGUAUAUUUGUUUGAACUUUGAGAAGUUGGUUUUGAGUGGAUUCUUUAAGAGCAGACAAAAGGCAUUUAUAGAAAGCAAGGGAAGGAAUGAUAGUGAAUGCGACCCAUUAUUGUUCUAAAUCGUCGUUGUAACGUGUAUAUCAUGUCUUCAUUGUUUUAUUUACCAUCACGGUAAAUGUAACCAUCGAUAAUUAAUUUUAGUAGUACUUGAAAGGGAAAUGAGAAAACACAAAUUCUACUAUUUGGAGCUUGUCUUUUUAAGGAACAUAUAUUUAAUAUAUUAUAUGAGCUUGUCUUCUCACAUAUAUUGAAGUAUUUUCCACUAUGAAAUUAUCCAUCAGCAUCCCAAUGACUUGAGUCCAAGUCGGCCGUCUCCAUCUCUUUAAAUUUUUCGUGAAUGGACCGAUGGGAGUACUUUUUUUUAUUUGGUCGGAUACUGAUGGGAGUACUUCAAAGAUGGUCCUGCACGGUUGCUUUUCAUCGCCAUUUGAGUGAACCGCGGAGUUAAGGCCUACAUCGGCAACAUGCAUAUGCCCCAAACUAUUUGAUGAGGCAGUAAGAUGAUUUCAAAAUCGCACUUUUGAAUUUAUUAGCUAGAUAAAAAAAAAAUUAUUAGCCAGAUGAAAAUCCACCAUCGACAAUAAAUUAAAAAAAUUAAAAUCCACCAUCAAAUAUGAUUAGAAUGUGUGCAAAUUGGAUUGGGUUAACAUCACGCAUAACCUUGAAAAAAAAAUUAAAAGAAUUUUAGCAAGAACCUCACCAAUAAAUUAAAUUCAAGCUUAAAAGAGUGAUAUGAAGAAAUCGAGGAACUUGGCUCUGAUUAAAGUAGGAUUUCACCGGAAAAAUGUAAGUUGCCAUGUGAUUAAGCUUCCCUAGUCGGAAGAAAGAGAAAAGUCUUUCGUCGCAUUUGUCGUCUAACGUUGAUCUGAGCAAUAUGUGUGUCCAUGGCGGUCCUCUAGCGACGCCGCUAGUGACAACUACAGAAAACUUUGCAUUCAAGACGCGCAAAAGUCUGAUUUUUCAAGUCUCUUGUUUCAAUUGGGCUCUAUUAUUGUGUUGUAUGUCUUGACUAGAUAAAAAUGGUUUUUCUUGCUUAUUCAAUAAGGUGAUGACGAUGUCGAGAAUGAUGAGUUCUUGUUUUUCAUAUUGGUUGAAAUCUUUUUUUCAAUCCUUGCAAAUAUGGUAGCUCUCAAUUAUUGUAUAGUGGAUCUUGCUUAUGAGUAUAUCCAAAAAUUAAUGUGAUCCUUUAGCCCAAGACAACAAGAAUCAAAUCCUCAAAAGUACUAAUUUGGUGAUAAUUUAAGGGUGUAUAAAUGACAUUAAUGACUUUUUCUCAUCUUAUUUGGGACUCUAGAUCUUAGAAUUAAUCUGUUUUGUGAGGUGUACUUCAACUUGGGUCCAUAUUUAUGAAACAGAGCAAGUGCUUGGCUUUGCCCCCUGUUAUAAGCCAAGCAAUAGACGACAGGUUCACGAAGUCGUAGCACCAAGAUGCACGCUAUGUUCACGAAGUCGUAGCACCAAGAUGCACGCACUUUGGUGGGGCCGGACCAACAGCAUUAUUGUGGAAAAACUUAGGUAUGGACGAGUUUUGCAGCGCAAUACCCGCAAGCACCAAGUCAAAAAGUCUCGAGGUCCAUGUCGUAAUGCUAAGCAACGACUUGCUAGGCAACGACUUGGGUCUGUCUAUAUUCAUCUGGUUGCAUUUUCCUUUGUAUGAUUGCAAAUUCUAACAAGGUUUUCAGUCCGCCUAAUUCAGCCAUUACUCAAAUGCUCAUCAUGAAUUUUGAGUAUGUAUUCACAUUUCUUUUAAAAGUGCAUUUAUGGGAUGUUUAUCAUGAAGGAUUGAUGAAAAUUAGUAGUACAAUAUUAACUGAUUGUUGUGAAUCUCUUUGGGUUGAAAGAUGGCUUUCUUAAAUUUUCCUGUCGAUACCAAUUGUUCAUUAAAGGAUGACAAGACGGUAGGAGAAUUUUAAGGGCCAGACAAACAGUGAUAUUUUGGGAGAUUAUUAUCAACUAUUUCCAAAGUUUAAACUAUCAUAUGAAAGCAUGGUUUGAUAUUCAAAUAUUCAAUUACUCCCCGUCACGACCCUUUAGAGAUGAAUGACAUCCCCGAGAUGUUUGGAUGGAUUAUCAAGUGAAUCUCUCUUGUGAGAUGCGUGCUUACGCUUGACUCGGGCUCUCCCAAGCCUUAUCAAACGCAACAUUAUUUACACUUGAUUGAUUAUGACAUUUAUUCUUGCUUUAAAAGUAUUUACUAAGGACAAGGCCUCAUCAACUAUACAUAAAAUGAGAAUGGAUAUGCAAAUGUGAUAUGAUAUGUAAAUAUUGUACUAAACAACGUUUUCUUUUUCUAGAAAUGAGACAAUUAAAAUGGAAAUAUUUUACAUUGUACAAUAAAAAAAGCAAUGCAAUCAAAAAUCCUAAAUGCACCCCUAAAUUAGGCUUCAAGUGUUUGGUUUGGGUGCAUUUGUUUAAACUUUGAGAGGUUGGUUUUGAGUAGGUUUUAAGAGUAGACCAAGGGCAUUUUAUUGAGAUCAAGGAAAGGAAUGAUAGUGAAUGCAACCAAUUUUAGCUCUAUAUCGUCGCAUAUCUUAUAUAUCAUGUGUUCAUGAUUUUAUUUAUAAUCACGGUAAACGUAAACAUCAAUUAUUAAUUUUAAUACUAUAUGAAAAGGGAAAUGGGAAAGCACGCAUUCUAUGACCUAGGGCUCGUCAUGUUAAGGAACAUAUAUUACAUAUUUUAAUUUGAGCUUGUCUUCUCACACAUAUUUAAGUAUUCUCUGUUAAGAAAUUAUCCAGCAGCAUCCUGAUGACUUGACUCCAAGUCGAUCCCCUCCCAAAAAGUCAAAGUCGAUAUCAUCUCUUCAAAUUUUUGUGCUUGGACUGAUGGGAGUACGUCAAAGAUGGUCUUGCACGGUUGCUUUCCAUCACCACGUGAGUGGACCGAUGGAGUCAAGGCCUACAUUGGCGACAUGCACAUGCCCCCAAGUAAUUGUUGAGGCAGUACGAUGAUUUUUGUUGACAAAACCCUAAUAAGUUUUGAAAUUGACAAAAUUAUCCAUUACUUGUAUAGAUCUUGAUAAAGAACUUUGAUAGUCCACAAGUAACUUCAAUUAAACUCGACAUUAUUGCUGGUCGCGUGGUCUCUUAAUCUCAUCGUCGGAGCUAGUCCAGGAGUGCAAAUAGCCAUGCCUACUGUCAUUAUUUCAACUCACCGACACGUACGCACUUUGGUGGGGCUGGGCCAACAGCAUUAUUGUGGAAAAACUUGGGUAUAGCCAAUUUUUGCAGUGCAAGACCCGCAAGCACCAAGUCAAGAGUCCAUAUUCAUCUGGUUGCACUUUCCUUUCAAUAGAUGCAAAUUCUAAAGCCAUGCCUAAUUCAACCAGUACCCAAAUGCCCCUCAUGGGUGUUGGAAAAAGUAUUAGAAUACAUAAAAUAAUAAUUAUUAUUAGGAAUACAUUACAAAAUAUUAGAAAAAAAAAAUGUCUGAGGCGUGCAAACACUAUUCUUAAGGAUAAUUCCGCCCCUCGGAGUACGUAGCUCGGUGCGUAAGACUUCAACGGCUAUCCUCUCAAGAUAUAACAGACCUUCCUCUAUACUCCGCAUUGAAUAUUAGAAUAAAACAUAACAACUUUUGUGUAUAACCAUCAAAAAGAAAAGGAAAGAUGUGAAAACAUAUUGUAUCUAAUAAGAUUGUGGUUUGAAGUUUAAUUUAUAAUUAAAGCUCCAAGUCAACUCAACAUUAUUGCUCGUCACUAUUAUUAUUUCAAUUGAAGUUGAAACAUGUACAAAACAAAUAGGAGUCACGAGCACCAACACGCACGCACUUUAGUGGGGCUGAACCAACAGCAUUAUUGUGGAAAAAUUCAAGUAUGGCCAAGUUUUGCAGUGCAAGACCCGCGAGCACCAAGUCAAAAGUCUUGAGGUCCUCUCAAAAAAUGCAAAUUCUAAAGUAUGUCUAAUCAGCCACUCGCUCAAAUACUCGUCAUGGAGACUUGGUUACGUAAAUUUUACCUAUAGCCCAUUAUCGGUACCUUUCCUCCUUUGAUAAAACGGUGUUUCAUGAAAUCUUUUUUGAUUUUCAUCCCAAGACAUGCAAAUCUACAUGGCCACACACAAGGGUGCAGGCAAUAAAAUGAAAUCAAUCAAUAAUAAAAACAAAAAAAAUGGCGGAAAUGAUAAGACACCGAGCUAAUUGGACAAUAAUAUCUUGUUGAUACCUAAAUUUUGAUUAAAUAUUUAAGGAUAACUUGCAUAGAAAAUUAGAGGUCAAUUUGACCCUACCCAAAAAAAUUUACAUUGAAUAGCAUGUCACAUGCCAUUAAGAUCAUUUGCAUUAACCAAGUUUUUUUAUUUAAAAAAAAAAAAAGAAGAAGAAAUGGCUUGGGGCUGGGCCUGACCCCAGCCCCUUUUCUUUCCCCUUCGUCUGGGUCGGGCCUAUUUCCUUUUAAUUUCUCCCAAGCCGGGCCCCUUCUCCGUUCCCCACUUCCUUCCUUCUUCCUCUCCUGCACCUCAGCGCACGGACACCCUCCGCAGAGCAGCCAAGGGGAGGCCUGGUCGGCCUGCCCAGAACCGGUGGCCGAAACACCUCCGUCGAUCGGGCUCCUCGUUUGUAAAUACCAGGGACACAAAAGGAGAGAGAAAAAUUCGUGAGCAAAAGGUUUCUCGUAUAGAAGAGUGAGAGAUUCGAGAGAGAGGAGCCGCAUGUGAGAGUUUGAGCGAGGGAGGGUAGUUAGAGGGAGAGACUGCCGGCCACCGCGCCAGCAUCGCGGCCGACGACCCACUGCCGGGCCUCCUUCCCAGCGCCAAGGCUCCGGUAAGCUUCGACCCUGUUCUUGGGCAUGCUGGACCGGAGCUCGUGGCCGUCUGGUUUACACGAACUCCGGCUCCAACCGUCCGUCGUUUGGCUGUCGCGUGGGUCGUUUUUCAUCUGGCGAGAGUCUCGGCUCGGGUUUGAGUCUUGGUCGAGCCAAAAACCACUCAUUUCAGUAGCGUACCCCGAACGAGAUCCGUUCGAUAAAAUGCCCGAAUGAGAUCUAGUUUUGUCUCGUCGUUUUGAGCAGAAGUCGAGUCGUCCGGGAAUCGACCCGUGGAGUCGAGGCUUGCCUGUGAUUUCUAGCGUUCCAGGCGUGGCUACCACCACUCGACCCGCAGCCACCCCCGUGGCGGCCCACGGAGGCUGCGGGUCUCUUUUGUUCCGGCAUACGAGCGACGACCGUCGUGGCUGUGGCAGAGGUGCCGCUGGACGGACGAGGGCCGAGCACUAGGCUAGGGGUUCUAUUUUCUUGCGUCCUCAAAGAGUCGUUUGUGUGUGCGUGCGCGCGCGCGGGGCUAGUUCCUGGAGGAGCCCUAUCUUCCCUUCAACGUGCAGCUCCUUUCAAAACACGAAGGAAACCAUGGCGGCUGCACUCUUAGGGAAAAGAACGUCUUUGGGCAUAGUAAAAGAAAAGACUACGGCUCCGUUCAUUUUACAGGGAAAACAACUGCCAGAAAUAGAUUUUUCAGAUUUUCCAGUAUUUAUUUCAUGGAAAAUGAAUUAGGCAAAGAAAACAUUUAAUUCUAUUGGAAAAAAACACCUUCAAAAUUGGGGAAAAAGUUUUCCAAUUCGAGCUCGCCGAUCCACAUCUUGGUCAGUCGCCGAGCAAGUAGCCAUCGCCUACGCACGCAGUGGUGGAGGGAGGAGCAAAGAAAAAAGAAAAAUUAAAAAUUAAAAAAAUGCGAUUCUUUAAAAAUUAAAAUUAAAAUUAAAAUUUUUUGAUCAAUUAAAAAAUUAAAAUUCGAUUUCUUUGGUAAUUUUUCUCUGAAAAAUCAAAUCAGAAUAGUGGAAAAUAUUUUCUAUAUCAUUUUCAAAUUUUAACGGAACACCAAAUAAUAUCUUUACUUUCUUUAAAAUUGGCUUCUAAAGAGUAUUUUUCGCCAAAUGAAGCUUAUUUUCCUUUCCUUUUACACGGGCACAAGGCGAAGAAGCGUGCUCCUCCCUUUUGUCUUUCAGUGGGCAGGAGCCUCUCUUUUUUUUUCUCCAUGCGGUAAAUCACUUUGAGGUGAAUCUCGCAAACAGCUCAAAUUCGAGACCUAUAUUUAAUAGUAAUUCUAUCUACAUGCAUUUUUUUUUCUUUUGACGCCUAAAAAUAUAGAGGGGAAAUGUAACCUAGGAAAGGAAUAUAUUGAACAUCGGUGGGCACUAUGCCAUUAACAAUUUCGUUUACAAAUGUCAUAUUACCCUCAACAUGCAAUUACCAGGAAAAGCUUAAAUAGGAUAAAAUGGAGUUGCUUACAUGGUUUGUGACAUUGACAAGUAAAAUCAUAUCAUGAGUAGAGCUUAGCAACACUAAAAUUACAAAAUGACAUGAUUUGCACUUACUGUGUUGUUUAAUCGACGGCUUGCCUGGACAAGCUUGAAAUAGAAGAAAACAAAAUAUUGGCUACUAGUAACUACUCACAAGGAGAAACAAGCCAACCACAAGAUGAUUGUGCUUAAACAAGAAAGCAAGAACUUCAUGAGAUCAACAAAGGAUUGGACUAAUUGAUGUAGAGAACGGACUUGUUAUGCUCUUCUCAAUCUCCUCCUCAACUCGGCUGCCUUCACUACAAUAAUCACAUAGACCAUGUCUGUUUUACGAUCCACAUAGUUGAAGUAGACGCGUCUCCAAUUCUUCUUGUACACCAAAACUCCAAUAACUCCCCAAAACCCAGUCGCAAACCCAAGCAUUAUGACUAUGUAGAACAUCACCUUUUCAAACUUACCUUCUUCUUCGGGAUCUUCUUUUGACACUCGAGGGGCCUCAGCACCGGGGCAUUUCUUUUGUAGAGGAUCACCACAAAGUAGAGGAUUGUCGGCAUAAAUGGAAGGAUCAUCAAGGGUCUGGAUUUGAUUUCCUUUGGGAAUUGGCCCUGUGAAGUUGUUGUGAGACAAGUUCAGUUUGCUUAGUGAUUUAAACGCAGAAAAGCUUUGUGGGAUUGUUCCUGAAAGGUGAUUAUUCGAAAGAUCAAGUGACUCGAGCCAUUUCAUUUGCCCAAUCAUAGUUGGGAUGCCCCCAAAAAGAAAGUUGUGGGAUAAGUUCAAGCCUCGUAAUUUGGAGAGCAAGGUAAGCUCUUCAGGGAUUCGCCCAAUCAAUUUGUUGCUUGAGAGAUCCAAAUUGACCAUAAGUCGUAGAGCGAGUGUUGUGUAGUCAAGGUCUAUCCCCUUCAUGACCUGCUCCACAUGCAGUCUCUUCCAAAAAUUUCGACCAAGGCCAGCAGGCAUCGAGUCAUUCACGGAAGGUUCAGCCUCAUAAGUAGGGGAAAGUGCAUUGCCUUGAUCUACGUUUUUGGGCAGUUUCAUACCUAUCAUAUAGCCAAGACAAUUUGGAAUCGUUCUCGUUAGAUUAUUCACUGCUAAGUCCAACAUUCGCAAUGCAGGGAGUGAACAUAGUUGUGAAGGAAUACUGCCAUUGAACAUGUUUUCUCGCAAUCUUAGAAUCUGUAGAAAUUGAAAGCUUGGUCCAAACCAGUGUGGAACACUUCCAGAGAUUUUAUUCUCACCAAGAUCCAAAACUAGCAAGUUCCUGCAAUAGUUCAUAGUCACAGGAAUUUCUCCUUGGAGACUGUUGUUGCUCAAGUAUAUUGACCCAAGCCUAGUUAGAUUUCCCAAAGAACUCGGUAUGACUCCAGACAACUUGUUGGACGAUAGAUCAAGGAAACUCAUAGGAUGCACCUUCCAACAAUCAGGGAUUUUGCCAACUAAUUCAUUCCUUGCAAGGUGCAACUUGUACAAAAGUUCCAUCUUGCAUAAUGAGGUUGGUAUUGGACCGCUUAAGAGGUUAUCGUUCAAUUUCAAGGAAGUCAUAUGAGGCACCGCUAGGCCAAUAUCUUGCGGAAUAGGUUCUGCGAUUAAGUUGUGAGAGAGAUCUAACAUUUGCAGAUAAGAAGGAAAUUUUGGUAGAAAUCCAUUUAUUUGGUUGUAAGAGAGAUGCAAGUAGUUGAUUGACAUGAGACCUAGCCAAUCAGGGAGAGCUCCUAUGAUGGAUGAGUUGGACAACACUAUCUCUUCUACAUUGACUUGCGUUUUUAUCCAUUGCGGAAAUUCCUUUUUGAAAUCGCAAGACAUCAUCCCAAUGUAAGACAAAUUGAAAGGUGGUAUCCAAUUGGAAUCCACCUCGAAAGCUAAAUAGUUGUUGCUGAUAUCUAAGUGCUCUAGCUUCGAGAGGUUGGCAAAGUGGAUUUCGGAAACUAUUCCUCUCAAGGAAUUUCUUGAAAGAUCUAAGCUAUCAAGAUUUUGAAGUUGCCCGAGACUAUGUGGAAUGCUGCCAUUUAGAAGAUUGUUACUAAGAUCUAAAGACUGUAAGCCUUGCAAUCCUCCUAAUGCCUCUGGAAUAUUCCCUGUCAAUUGAUUAUAAGAAAGAAAAAGUCUGUCCAAGCAUAACCAACCAUAUGAUGGCGGGAUGGUUCCAUGUAAUUGAUUAGCUGAUAGGUCAAGCCAUGUCAAGUUUUUCAAGUGCACCAGCCAAUCUGGCAAAGCUCCUCGAAGAAAAUUAUCACUUAUAUCCAUUCGCUCCAAGUUUUUUCCGAUAAGCCCCGAAGAAUUUCCCUUGACUGAAAAUAACUCAUCAAGAAGUUUGUUUGUAGUCAAUGAUAGUGACUUGAGGAAUGGUUUGUUCCUUAAGAAAGAGAACAACCCUCCCUCAAUGCUUUGCAAAAGAUUGUCUUCAAGAUUGAGAUUGACAAGACUUCUCAAGUUAUCGAACCACCUUGGUACUGAAGAGUUGAAACAAUUGGAUGAAAGAUCGAGGUGCUGGAGAGAAGUCAUUUUUUGAAAUAUAGCGCUCGGGAUAGGACCUUCGAAAAAGUUCGCUGAAAGAUCAAGAUGCCAAAGAGAAGUCAUGUUUUGAAAUAUAGCGCGUGGGAUGGGACCUUUGAUAAAACAACUUGAAAGACCUAGGUGCCGCAAAGAAGUCAUGUUUUGACACAUAGUGCUGGGGAUGGAACCUCUAAACCUAUUCCAUGAAAGAUCAAGGUGUUGGAGAGAAGUCAUGUUUUGGAAUAUAGUGCUUGAGAUGGGACCUCCAAAAGAAUUUAACGAAAGAUCAAGGUGCCGAAGAGAAGUCAUGUUUUGAAAUAUAGUGCUUGGGAUGCGACCUCGGAAAAAAUUAUUUGAAAGAUCGAGGUACUGAAGAUCAAGAUGAGUAGGCAGGUGAAAGUCAUAAAGUCCGCAAUAUGAUAGGCGUAAAUGAGAUAAAGAUGGGAGUAUACUGAUCACCCGCAUGGGGUCUCCAUAUUUAGUAAUAUUCAGGCCGCUCAUGUCAAGGUACUUUAAUGCUUGAAGAUGGGAAACCCACUGAAUGUCAUCAACAUCACCCAUGUAAUAAUAACUAUUGAGAUCGAGGACUUCCAACUGAGUAAGAUUUCCCCAUUCGCUAGCAAAAGUUGCAAAACCAAAAGAGUUGGAUAAAUUAAGGUACCUCAAUUGCUUCAUCGAGCUGAUAUCACUGAGUAUGUUCGCCUUUUCGAAAUAGAUCCAGCUCAACUCCAGGUAGCUCAAGUAUCUCAAGUUCAACAAAGAAGAGUUCAAUUCACUGGCUGUGAAAGAAAUCUGGCCAAAUAGGCGAAAUGAGAAUUUGUAUUCUGGCGUGAUCUUAAGCAUGACGACAUGUCCAGUUGCUCGGUCGCACUUUACUCCAGUCCAUUGGCAACAAUCUUUGUUGUUCCACGAAGAAAGGAUAUGAGAUGUGCUUGAGAGACUUUGUUUGAGCUGGAGUAGAGCAUCCCUUUCGUCUUCAAAGCAAAUCGAGGAUGAGCUUCUAUUUCUGCACAAGCAUACACACGCAUGGUCUAAAAUCAACAACAGACUUACUAGUACAAGCACUCUUACACUAUCAUGUUCCCCCAUGAAUGAUGACGAUAUUGAAAACAAAAGGUAUAUGGCACAUGAACGCCACUGGAUCAGGCUACAAGUUUUUGGCUUGGGUGUAUUUUUGUUCAAAUUAUGAGAAGUUAAGCUCAAGUGGAUUCUUAAGAGAAGACAAAAGGAAUUUAUAGAGAGAAAGGGAAGGAAUUACAGUGAAUGCCUUUGCUCUAUAUGGUCGUUAACCAUGUAUAUCAUGUGUUUGUAGUUUCAUUUACCAUCACGGUAAAUGUAACCAUCAAUUAUCAAUUUUAGUAGUACUUGAAAAGGAAGUGGGAAAGCACAAAUUCUACUACUCGGAGCUUGUCAUUUUAAGGAACAUAUAUAUAAUAUACUGUAUGAGCUUGUCUUCUCACACAUAUUAAAGCGUUCUCCAUUAAAAAAUUGUCCAUCAGCUCUCUAAAAAUUUGUGCAUGGACAGACGGGAGUACUUCAAAGAUGGUCUUGCACGGUUGCUUUUCAUCACCAUUUCAGUGAACCGACGGAGUCAAGGCCUACAUGGGCUACAUGCAUAUGUCCCAAAAUAAUUGAUGAGGCAGUAAGAUGAUUUCAAAAUCGCAUUUUCGAAUGUAUUAGCCAGAUGGAAAGCCCACCAUCGCCAAUAUCGAAUAUGGUUAGAAUGUGUGCAAAUUGGUAUGGGUAAACAUCACGCAUAACCUUGAAAAAUAAGAAAUAAAAUUAGCAAGAACCUCACCAAUAAAUUAAAGUCAAGCUUAAAACGAGUGAUAUGAAGAAAUUGAGGAAUUUGACUGUAAUUUAAGUAGGAUAUCACCAGAAAAAUGGAAGUUGCCAUGUGAAGAAGCUUCCCUAGUUGGAAGAAAAACGUCAGAUUCAUUGUCUAAUGUUGAUAUGAACAACAUGUGUGCCCAUGGUGGUCCUCUAGUGACACCUCUAGUGACAACUACAGAAAACUUUGCAAUCGGGACACGCAAAAGUCUGGUCUUUCAAGUCUCUAGUUCCAAUUGGGCACUCUUACUAUGCUAUGGGGAUUGACUAUAUAAAAUUGGCUUUUCUCGCUCAUUUAAUAAGGUGACGAAUGCGUCGAGAAUGAAGAGUUCUUCUUUUUCAUAUUCGUUGAAAUCCUUUUUUCAUCCUUGCGAAUACAGUGGCUCUCUAUUAUUGUAUUGCCGGUCUUGCUUACGAUUAUAUCAAAUAGUUAAUGUGAUCCUUUAGCCUAAUACAACAAGAAUCAAACCCUCAAAAGAAGUACUCAUUUGGUGACAAUUUAAGAUGUAUAAAUGACAUUACCGACUUUCUCUGGAUCUUAGAAUCAGGUCUAUAUUUAGGAAACAGAGCAAGUGCUUGGCUUUGAUCCUUGCUAUAAGCCAAGCAAUAGACAACGUGUUAACAAAGUCGUAGCACGAAGAUUCUCGGACUAUGGUGGGGCUGGAAUCAACUGCAUUAUUGUGGAAAAACAUAGGUAUGGCGAAGUUUUGCAGUGAAAGACCCGCAAGCACCCAGUCAAAAAGUCUCGAGGUCCAUGUCGUGACGACUCGGGUCUAUCCAUAUUCAUCUGGUUGCAUUUUCCUUUGUAUAAAUGCAAAUUCUAACGGGUUUUAAGUACGCCUAAUUCAGCCACUACUUAAAUGCUCAUCAUGGACUUGGAUUCACAUUUCUUUUAGAAGUGUGUCUAUGGGAUGCUUAUUAUGAAGGAACGAUGAAAAUUAGUAAGAGUACAAACUAAAACGCAGUACAAUAUUAAUCAAUCCUCGUGGUCUCUUUUGGGUCGAAUGUUCGAUCUCUUAAAUUUUCCUAUUGAUAUCAAUUAUUCAUUGGAGGAUGACAAUACAGUAGGAAAAUUUUAAGGGCCAGACAAAUUGUGAUAUUUUGCAAGAUCCUUAUCAACUGUUUUGAAAAUUUAAACUCUUAUAUGAAAGAGUGGUUUGAUAAUUAAAUAUUCUAUUACUCCCCGUCGCAAUCAUUUAAAGACAAAUGACAUCCUCGAGGCGUUUGGAUGGACUAUCAAGCAAGCCUCUCUUGCGAGAUGUGCGCUUGCGCUUAACACAACCUGUCCCAUGUCCUAUCGGUCCCAACAUUAUUUACACUUGAUUGAUUAUGACAUUUAUCCUUGCUUUAAAAUUAGCAAGAACCUCACAAAUAAAUUGAAGUUAAUCUUUAUACGACAAAAUUGAGGAAUUUGGCCAUGACUAAAGUAGGAUUUCACCAAAAAAAUGUAAGUUACUAUGUGAUGGAGCUUCCAUAUUCAGUCUUUCGUCGCACUCGUCAUCUAAUGUUGAUUUGAGGAACAUGUGUGCCCAUGGCAACACUCUAGUGACAGCACUAGUGACUACUACAGAAAACUUUGCAAUCAAGAAAAGCAAAAGUCUGAUCUUUCAAGUCUCUUCUUACAAUUGUGCUCUAUCAUUAUAUUGUGGGCCUUGACUAGAUAGAAAUGACUUUUCACGCUUAUUAAAUGAGGUGACGAUGAUGUUGAGAAUGACGAGUUUUUGCUGUACAUAUUGGUUGAAAUUCAUUUUUGAACCCUCGUGAAGACGACAACUCUCUAUUAUUGUAUUGCAGUUCUGUUCCAAUGAUUCUUAGAAACUCGCUCCAAUGACAAGGGCAUUAAAUAGUUAAUGUAAUCCUUUAGCAAAGAUAACAAGAAUCAAACCCUGAAAAUGAGACGUAUUUGGUGACAAUUUACAAUGUAUAAGUGCCAUUACCGACUUUCUCUCCUCUUAUGUAGGACUCGGGAUCUUAGAAGUGAUCAGUCUCAUGAGACGUAAUUCGCAUGAGAGAUAGAUUAUUUCUUCGAUUAAAUGUCGACUAGUUUUAGUAAUGAUGAUUUAGCGAAGUGAGAAGAGCAAGUGACCGAGUGGAGUUGUGCAUUAGCCCUUGUUUAGAAUUGUUUCUACACAUUUCACGAGUCCCUUGUGAUCUAGCCUAUUUUAUAACUUAGGGAAUAUGUUACCAUCACUCUGCAUUUCAAUUGGAAGUAAAGGGAAGUCACAUGUUUCUUUCAAUCAAAGUUUCUUAAAUCGAAAGUCCACAAAUAGCUCCAAGUCAACUCAACAUUAUUGCUCGUCACUAUCAUUAUUUCAAUUGAAGUUGAAACAUGUACAAAGCAAAUAGGAGUCACGAGCACCAACACGCACGCACUUUGGUGGGGCUGAACCAACAGCAUUAUUGUGGAAAAAUUCAGGUAUGGCCAAGUUUUGCAGUGUAAGACCCGCGAGCACCAAGUCAAAAGUCUUGAGGUCCUUUCAAAAAAUGCAAAUUCUAAAGUACGUCUUAUCAGCCACUCGCUCAUUUACUUGUCAUGGAGACUUGGUUACGUAAAUUUUACCUAUAGCCCAAUAUCGGUACCUUUCGUCAUUUGAUAAAACGGUGUUUCAUGAAAUCUUUUUUGAUUUUCAUCCCAAGACAUGCAAAUCUACAUAGCCACAGACAAGGGUGCAGGCAAUAAAAUGAAAUCAAUCAAUAAUAAAAACAAAAACAAAAAAUGGCGGAAAUGAUAAGACACCGAGCCAAUUGGACAAUAAUAUCUUGUUGAUACCUAAAUUUUGAUUAAACAUUUAGAGAUAACUUGCAUAAAAAAUUAGAGGCCAAUUUGACCCUACCCAAAAAAUUUACAUUGAAUAGCACGUCACAUUGGCAUUAAGAUCUUUUGCAUUAACCAAGUUUUUUCAUUUUUUUUAAUUAAAAAAAAAACGAAAUGGCUUGGGGCUGGGCCUGACCCCAGCCCCUUUUUUUUCCCCUUCGUCUGGGUCGGGCCCAUUUCCUUUUAAUUUCUCCCCAGCCGGGCCCCUUCUCCGUUCCCCACCUUCCUUCCUCCUUCCUCUCCUGCGCCUCUGCGCACGGACACCCUCCGCAGAGCAGCCAAGGAGAGCCUGGUCGGCGUGCCCAGAACCGGUGGCCGAAACACCUCCGUCGAUCGGGCUCCUCGCCUGUAACUACCAGGGACACAAAAAGAGAGAAAAAUUCGUGAGCAAGAGGUUUCUCGUAUAGAAGAGAGAGAGAUUCGAGAGAGAGAAGCCGCAUAUGAGAGUUUGAGCGAGGGAGGGGAGUUAGAGGGAGAGACUGCCGGCCACCGCGCCAGCAUCGCGGCCGACGACCCGCUGCCGGGCCUCCUUUCCAGCGCCGAGGCUCCGGUAAGCUUCGACCCUGUUCUUGGGCACGCCGGGCUGGAGCUCGUGGCCGUCCGGCUUACACGAACUCCGGCCUCGACCGUCCUUCGUUUGGCUGUCGCGUGGGUCGUUUUUUCAUUUGGCGAGAGUCUCGGCUCGGGUUUGGGUCUUGGUCGAGCCAAAAACUAUUCAUUUCAGUAGCGUACCCCGAAUGGGAUCUGUUCGAUAAAAUGCCCGAAUGAGAUCUAGUUUUGUCUCAUUGUUUUGGGCAGAUGUCGAGUCGUCCGGGCAUCGACCCGUUGAGUCGAGGCUUGCCUGUGAUUCCUCGAAGAGUCCUUGUUUCGGCUUCUUUUCCUUUCCCACGAGCUGCUACUGUAGGCUUGUAUUUGUGUGUGGGCGCACGCGCGCGCUGCUAGUUUCGGGAGGAUGCCCAUCUUCCCUUCAACGUGCAGUUCCUUAUAAAACACGAAGGUAACCAUGGCGGCUGCACUCUAGCGAAAUGAACGACUUUGGGCAUAGUAAAAGAAAAGGACUAUCUCCGUUCGUUUUCAUAGAAAAAAAAAAAUUUUGGAUGUUUUCCAGAAUUUAUUUGAUGGAAAAUGAGUUAGUCAAGAAAAAUGUUAACGUUAUUAGAAAAAAAUACAUUCAAAAGUGAGGAAAAUAUUUUCUACUUCGAGCUUUUUGAUCCGCGUUUUGAUCCGUCACCGAGCAACUAGCCAUCGCUAGGGCACGUAGUAACGUAGACAAAGGAGGAGAAAGAAGGAAGGAGGAGGAAGGCAACAAGAAAAAUAAAUCAGAUAAUGAAUAGUGAAAUAUUUUUCACGCCAUUCUCAAUCGAAUAUCGGAAAAUAUCGUUAUUUUCUUGAAAAUAUAUAUUCCAAAAGCUAUUCCAGAAACGUAAUAUUUCCUUUUGUUUUCUUUUUGCACCUCCCUUUCGUCUUUUUAGUGGCUGGGAACUUCUUCUUUUUCUUUAUGCAAUAAAUCAUUUUGAGACCAAUCUCGUAAACAGUUCAAAUUCAAGACAUAAAUUUAACAAUGGUUCUAGCUACAUGCAUAUAUCUUUCUUUUGAUGUCUCAAAAUUCAAAGGGGAAAUAUAGCCUAGGAAAGGAAUACAUUGAACAUUGGUGGGCACUAUGCCAUUAACAAUUUCAUUUACUAAUGUCAUAUCACCCUCAACAUGCACUUAGCAGGAAAAGCUUAAACAAUAUAAAAUGGAAUUGCUAACAUAGUUUUACGACAUUGACAAGCAAAAUAAUAUCAUGAUUAUGAUAACACGAGGUACUGCUAAAGAGCUGAGCAACACUAAAUUACAAAAUACAUGAUUUGCACUUACCAUGUCGUUUUAUGGACGGCUUGCUUGGACAAGCUUGAAACUGAAGAAAACAAUAUAUAUAUUAUUUUUUUUUGGUAAAGGUAAUGAUGUAUAUAGCUUUGAACCAACAUUUACAUAAUUGGCUACUAGUAACUACUCAAAAGGAGAAACAAGCCAACUACAAGAUGAUUCUGCUUAAACAAGAAAGCAAGAACUUCGUGAGAUCAACAAAGGAUUGGACUGACUGAUGUGGAGAACAGGCUUGUUAUGCUCUUCUCAAUCUCCUCCUCAACUCAACUGCCUUCACUACAAUAAUCACGUAGACCAUGUCUGUUUUACGAUCCACAUAGUUGAAGUAGACGCGUCUCCAAUUCUUCUUAUACACCAAAACUCCAAUAACUCCCCAAAACCCAGUUGCAAACCCAAGCAUUAUGACUAUGUAGAACAUCACCUUUUCAAGCUUACCUUCUUCAUCGGGAUCUUCUUCUGACACUCGAGGGGCCUCAACACUGGGGCAUUUCUUUUGUAGAUGAUCGCCACAAAGUAGAGGGUUGUCUGCAUAAAUGGAAGGAUCAUCAAGGGUUUGGAUUUGAUUUCCUUUGGGAAUUGGCCCCGUAAAGUUGUUGUGAGACAAGUUCAAUUUGCUCAAUGAUUUAAACGCAGAAAAGCUUUGUGGGAUUGUUCCUGAAAGGUGAUUAUUUGAAAGAUCAAGUGACUCGAGCCAUUUCAUGUGUCCAAUCAUAGUUGGGAUGCCUUCAGAAAGAAAGUUGCGAGAUAAGUUCAAGCCUCGUAAUUUGGAGAGCAAGGUAAGCUCUUCAGGGAUUCGCCCAAUCAAUUCGUUGCUUGAGAGAUCCAAAUUGACCAUAAGUCGUAGAGCGAGUGUUGUGUAGUCAAGGUCUAUCCCCUUCACGACCUGCUCCACAUGCAAUAUAUACCAAAUUGAUGGAUCGAGGGCAGCAGGCAUCGAGUCAUUCACGGAAGGUUCAGCCUCAUAAGUAGGGGAAAGCGCAUUGCCUUCAUCUACGUUUUUGGGUAGUUUCAUACCUGUCAUAUGGCCAAGACAAUUUGGAAUCCUUCCCGUUAGAUUAUUCACUGCUAGGUCCAACAUUCGCAAUGCGGGGAGUGAGCAUAGUUGUGAAGGAAUACUGCCAUUGAACAUGUUUUCUCGUAGUCUUAGAAUAUUUAGAAACUGAAAGCUUGUUCCAAACCAAUGUGGAACACUUCCAGAGAUUUUGUUCUCACCAAGAUCCAAAACUAGCAAGUUCCUGCAAUAGUUCAUAGUCACGGGAAUUUCUCCCUGGAGACUGUUGUUGCUCAAGUAUAUUGAUAGAAGCUGAGUUUGAUUUACCAAAGAACUCGGUAUGACUCCAGACAACUUGUUGGACGAUAGAUCAACGAGACUCAAAAUGUUCGCCUUCCAACAAUCAGGUAUUUUGCCAACUAAUUCAUUCCUUUCAAGAUGCAACUCAUCCAAAAAUUCCAUCUCGCAUAAUGAGGUUGGUAUUGGACCACUUAAGAGGUUAUCAUUCAGUUUCAAGGAACUUAUAUGAGGCAUCGCUCGGGCAAUAUCUUGCGGAAUAGGUUCUGAGAUUAAGUUGUGAGAGAGAUCUAAGUAGAACAAUUUAGGAUGAAAUUUCGGCAGAGAUCCAUUUAUUUGGUUGUAAGAGAGAUCCAGGGAGUAGAAUGACAUGAGACCUAGCCAAUCAGGGAGAGCUCCUAUGAUGGAUGAGUUGGACAACACUAUAUUUUUUGCAUUGACUUGCGUUUUUAUCCAUUGCGGAAAUUCAUUUCUGAAAUCGCAAGACAUCAUCACUAUGUAAGACAGAUCGAAGGGCGGUAUCCAAUCGGAAUCCACCUUGAAAGUUAAAGAGUUGUUGCCGAUAUCUAAGUACUCUAGCUUCGAGAGGUUGGCGAAGUGGAUUUCAGAAAUUGUUCCUCUCAAGGAAUUUCCUGAAAGAUCUAACCAGUCAAGAUCUUGAAGUUGCCCGAGACUUUGUGGAAUGGUGCCAUUUAGAAGAUUGUUACUGAGAUCUAAAGACCGUAAGACUUGCAAUCUUCCUAAUGCCUUUGGAAUAUUCCCUGUCAAUUGAUUAUAAGAAAGAGAAAGUUGUUCCAAGCAUAACCAACCGUAUGAUGACGGGAUGGUUCCAUGUAAUUGAUUAGAUGAUAGGUCAAGCCAUGUCAAGUUUUUCAAGUGCACUAGCCAAUCUGGCAAAGCUCCUCGGAGAAAAUUAUCACUUACAUCCAAUCGCUCCAAGUUUUUCCCGAUAAGCCCCGAAGAAUUUCCCUCAACUAAAAAUAACUCAUCAUGAAGUUCGUUAUCAUGCAAUGAUAGUGACUCGAGGGAUGGUUUGUUCCUUAAGAAAGAGAACAACCCUCCUUCAAUGCUUUGCAAAAGAUUCCAUCCAAGAUCGAGAUCGACAAGACUUCUCAAGUUAUCGAACCACCUUGGUACUGAAGAGUUGAAAUGAUUCCAUGAAAGAUCGAGAUGCCGAAGAGAAGUUAUGUUUUGAAAUAUAGCGCUCGGGAUAGGACCUUCGAAAAAGUUCAUUGAAAGAUCAAGAUGCCAAAGAGAAGUCAUGUUUUGAAAUAUAGCGCGCGGGAUGGGACCUUUGAUAAAACACCUUGAAAGAGCUAGGUGCCGCAGAGAAGUCAUGUUUUGACACAUAGUGCUGGGAAUGGAACCUCUAAACAUAUUCCAUGAAAGAUCAAGGUGUUGGAGAGAAGCCGUGUUUUGGAAUAUAGUGCUUGAGAUGGGACCUUGGAAAAUUCGAUGAAAGAUCAAGGUGCCGAAGAGAAGUCAUGUUUUGGAAUAUGGUGCUUGGGAUGGGACCUUGGAAAAAAUUCUCUGAAAGAUCGAGGUACUGAAGAUCAAGAUGAGUAGGCAAGUGAAAGUCAUAAAGCCCGCAAUUUGAUAGGCUUAAAUGAGAUAAGGAUGGGAGUAUAUUGAUCACCCGCAUGGGGUUUCCAUAUUUAGUAAAAUUCAGGCCGCUCAUGUCAAGGUACUUUAAUGCUUGAAGAUGGGAAACCCAUUGAAGGUCAUCAACAACACCCACGUGAAAAUAACUAUGGAGAUCGAGGACUUCCAACUGAGUGAGAUUUCCCCAUUCACUAGGAAAAGUUGCAAAACCAAAAGAGUCGGAUAAAUUAAGGUACCUCAAUUGCUUCAUCGAGCCGAUAUCAUUGAGUAUGUUCGCCUUUUUGAAAUGGAUCUUGCUCAACUCCAGGUAGCUCAAGUAUCUCAAAUUCAGCAAAGAAGAGUUCAAUUCAUUGGCUGUGAAAGAAAUAUGGCGAAAUGGGAAUUUGUAUUCUGGCGUGAUCUUGAGCAUGACGACAUGUCCAUUUGCUCGGUCGCACUUUACUCCAGUCCAUUGGCAACAAUCUUCGUUGUUCCAUGAAGAAAGGACGUGAGAUGUGUUUGAGAGACUUUGUUUCAGCUGGAGUAAAGCAUGCCUUUCGUCUUCAAAGCAAAUUGAGGAUGAGCUUCUAUUUCUGCACAAGCAUACACACGCAUGGUCUAAAAUCAACAACAGACUUACUAGUACAAGCACUCUUACACUAUCAUGUUCCGCCAUGAAUGAUGACGAUAUUGAAAACAAAAGGUAUAUGGCACAUGAACGCCACUCGAUUAGGCUUCAACUUUUUGGCUUGGGUGUAUUGUUCAAAUUCUGACGAUAUUUAACUUAUUGUCUAUUGCUAUAAGCCAAGCAAUAGACAACAGGUUAACGAAGUCGUAGCUCGAAGAUGUACGCACUUUGGCGGGGCUGGACUCAACAGCAUUAUUGUGGAGAAACUUCAGGUAUGAACGAGUUUUGCAGUGCAAGACCCGCAAACACCAAGUAAAAGUCUUCAGGUCCUUGUCGUCAUGCUAUGCAACGACUUGGGUGUCUACAUUCAUCUGGUCGCAUUUUCCUUUGCAUGAGUGCAAAUUCUAACACGGUUUUAAGUGCACCUAAUUCAAACACUAGUCAAAUGCUCAUCAUGGAUUUUGAGUAUGUAUUCACAUUUCUUUUAAAAAGUACAUCUAUGGGAUGUUUAUUAUGAAGGAACGAUGGACAAUUACCAAGAGCAUAAACUAAAAUGCAAUAUAAUAUUAAUCAAUUCUUAUAAAUCUCUUUUGGAUCGAAAGAUUGCUCUCUUAAAUUUUCCUAUCGAUAUCAAUUGUUCAAUGGACGAAGACAAGACAGUAGGAGAAUUUUAAGGGCCAGACAAAUAGUGAUAUUUUACGAAAUUAUUGUCAACUAUUUUAAAAAUUUUAACUAUUAUAUGAAAGCGUGGUUUGAUAAUAAAUUUUUUUAUUACUCCCUGUCGCAAUCUUUUGAGAUGAAUGGCAUCCCCGAGGUGUUUGGAUGGAUUAUCUAGUGAACUUCUCUUGUGAGAUGGACACUUGCGCUUGACACAAAUUCUCUCAAGUCCUAUCGGUCGCAACAUUAUCUACACUUGACUGAUUAUGACAUUUAUUCGUGCUUCAAAAUUAGCAAGAACCUCACAAGUAAAUUGUUAACUUAAAAUGAGUGAUAUGAAGAACUUGAGGAAUUUGGCUUUGAUUAAGGUAGGAUUUCAAUAGAAAAUGUAAGUUACUAUGUGAUGAAGCUUCCUUAGUCGGAAGAAAGAGAAAAGUCUUUCAUCGGAUUCAUCAUCUAAUGUUGAUCUGAGCAACACGUGUGCCCAUGCUGAUCCUUUGGCGAGAGCGCUAGUGACUACUACAGAAAACUUUAAAAUCAACACGCGCAAAAGUCUGAUCUUUCAAGUCUCUUGUUUCAAUCGUGCUCUAUUAUUGUGCCGUGAAUCUUGACUUGAUAAAAACAGCUUUUCCCGCUUAUUUAAUAAGGUGAUGACGAUGUUAAGAAUGACAAGUUCUUCUUGUACACAUAGGUUGAAAUCCAUCUUUCAACCCUCAUGAAUAUGGCAAUUCUUUAUUAUUGCAUUACGGGUGCAUGGGUGACAUUACCAACUUUCUCUCAUCUUAUAUGGGAAUCUAAAUCUUAUCAAUAAUCCGUCUCAUUAGGCUUACUUUGCAUGGGAGAUAGAUUAUAUAUGGAUUAGUUUCAGCAAUGAUAAUUUAGCUAAAUGCAAAGAGCAAGUGACCAAACAGAGUUGUGUAUUAAUGUGAGUGUAGUUUUGUUUAUGCACUUUCCACGACCCUCCUGUGAUCUCAUCUAUCUUAUACUUCCUGGAAAAUGUAACCAUUAUCACUGUGGAUUUCGAUUGAAAUGGGAAGUUAUAUGUUUCUUUCGAUAGAAGUCUGGUAAAUUGAAAGUCUACAAAUAACUCACAGUCAACUCAACGAUUAUUGCUCCACAUUUCAAUUGGAAAAUUUAGAAUGGGAAGUCACAUGUUCUUUCAAUCAAAGUUUCCACAUAUAACUCCAAGUCAACUCGACUUGUCGCUCAUGGCAUGGUCUAUUGAUCUCAUCCUCAGAGCUGGUCCAGGAGUGCAAGUAGCCCACGCCUCACUAUCAUUGUUGUGAGUCAGGACCACCAACACUUUGGUUAGGCUGGACCCACGGCAUUAUCGUGGAAAAACUUAAGGUAUGGCCAAGUUUCGCAGUGCAAAACCCGCAAGCACCAAAUCAAAAAGUCUUGAGGUCCAUGUCGUCAUGCUAUGCAAAGACUGGGGUCUGUCUAAAUUCAUCUGGCUGUAUUUUCCUUUGUAUGAUGCAAAUUCUAGCAGGGUUUGAAGUACGCCUAAUUCUGCCACUACUCAAAUGCUCAUAAUGGAUUUUGAGUACGUAUUCACAUUUCUUUUCAAAAGUGCGCCUUUGGGAUGUUUAUCAUGAAGGAACGAUGAAAAUUUGUAGUACAAUAUUAACCGAUUCUUGUGAAUCUCUUUUGGGAAGAAAGACCACUCUCUUGAAUUUUCCUAUUGAUAUCAAUUGUUCACUAGAGGAUGACAAGACAGUAGAAGAAUUUUAAGAGCCGGACAAAUGGUGAUAUUUUACAAGAUCAUUGUCAAUUGUUAUACAAAUUUAAACUAUUAAAUCAAAGUGUGGUUUAAUAACUAAAUAUUCUAUUACUCUCUAUUGCGACCCUUUAGAGAUGAACGACAUCCCUGAGGCGUUUGGAUGGAUUAUCAAGUAAACCUCUCUUGUGAGAUAGGCACUCACACUUGACAUGAGCUCUCCCAAGCCCUAUUAGUCGCAACAUUAUUUACACUUGAUUGGUUAUGACAUUUAUUAUUGCUUUAAAAUUAGCAAGAACCUCACAAAUAAAUUGAAGUUAAACUUAAAAUGAGUGAUAUGAAGAAAUUGAGGAAUCUGGCUAUGAUUAAAGUAGGAUUUCACCGGAAAAAUAUAAGUUGCUAUAUGAUGAAGCUUCCCUAGUCGGAAGAAAGAGAUAAGUCUUUAAUUGGAUUCGUCAUCUAAUGUUGGUCCUUUGUUGACUCCACUGGUGACUACUACAAAAAAACCUUUGCAAUUAAGUCUUUCAAGUUUCUUGCUCCAACCGUGCUCUAUUAUUGUGUUGGGGCUCUUCAUUUGAUAAAAAUGGCUUUUCUCACUUAUUUAUUAAGAUGAUGACGAUGUAGAGAAUGAUGAGCUCUUGUUGUACAUUUUGGUUGAAAUCCAUUUUUCAAUCCUUGUGAAAACGGUAACUCUCUAUUGUUGUAUUACGGGUGUUGUUCCAUUGAUUCUUAGAAACUCACGCCAAUGAUGACGGCAUCGAAUAGCUAAUGUGAUCCUUUAGCCUAGAUAACAAGAGUCAAACCCUCAAAAUGCAUCUCAUUUGGUAACGAUUUAAUUUGUUAACGAUUUACUGAUGUGUAAGUGACAUUACCAACUUUUUAUCAUCUUAUAUGGGACUUUUGAUCUUAUAACUAAUCCAUCUCAUGAGAAGUACUUCACAUGGGAGAUGGAUUAUUUGUUAGAUUAGAUGUGGACUAAUUUCAGCGAUGAUGAUUCAGCAAAAGUCUGAAGAGCAAGUGAUCAAGCAGAGUUGUGUAAUCACACAAGUGUAGAUUUGUUUCUACACUUUCCACGGGUCCCUUGUUAUGUAGUCUAUCUUAUGAGUCAAGGAAAAUGUAUCCAUCAUCACCGUGGAUUCCAUUUAUAAAAAUAGAAUGGGAAGUUACAUGCUUCUUUCAAUUGAUGCUUGGUAAAUCGAAAGUCUACGAAUAACUCCCGGUCAAUCAACGAUCAUCACUCGUUGCAUGGUCUCUUAUAUCUCAUCGUCACUAUAGUACAACUUCAAGUUGAAACGUAGCAAGUGCUUGGCUAUUUCCCCCCGCUAUAAGCCAAGCAAUAGGUGACACGUUGACGAAGUCGUAGCACCAACGGCAUUAUUGUGGAGGCAAGUUUUUGCAGUGCUAGACCCGCAAGCACCAAGUCAAAGUCUUGAGGUCCUUUCAAUAAAUGCAAAUUCUGAAGUAUGUCUAAUCAGCCACCCACUCAAAUACUCAUCAUCGAGACUUGGUUACGUAAAUUUUAUCUAUAGUACGUUAUCGGCACCCUUCCUCCUUUGAUAAAACGGUGUUUCAUGUAAUAUUUUCUAACGUUCAUCCCUAAACAUGCAAAACUACAUGACCACACAUAAAGACGCAAGCAAUAAAAUGAAAUCAGUCAUAACAAAAAAAAUAAAUGGCUGAAAUGAUAAGACCCUAAGCCAAAUCUGGCAACAUUAUUCAACGUCAUAUUAUAAAAGCCCUGGGACACGACCUCGUCAACUAUACAUGAAAGGAGAGUGAAUAUGCAAAUGUGAUAUGCUAUGUAAAUAAUGUACUAAACAACGUAUAUUCUUAAAAUGAGCUAAUCGACAUGGAAAUAUUUAACAUUGUGCAAUAAAAAAUGCAAUGUAAUCAUAAAUCUAAAUUUCAUUAAAUGCACCCCUAGGCAUAUUUCUGUAAAUUGUUUAAUGAACAUCCAAUCAAAAAUUACUAGCAAGCAAUACAUAAUUUUUAUCUUUUCCAAUUUAUGACAUACGACCUAUCGAAAAUAAACAUGCAAAUAUAGCAAUUAAAUGAAACUUCAAUUCAUGGGAAGUCCCGAUUUUUCUAAGAUGGGAAUUGGGUGCAUAGGAAUGUCAUGUAAAGCAUAUGUAAUAAGAUAGCAUGAUGCAAAGUCUUACAUGGGCAUGACAUAAGCAACUACUUACGAAUGAAAAUGAAUUCUCCACACAUGCGGUGGGAUAACCUAAGCCGUAAUCAAUGAAGCUUGAAGAGAGUAUAUGAAGUUGGAAUAUGCAACUCUUGAUUAUUAACGAAAGGAGGUUCAUAUAAAUGGUGGUCAAGAUUUACGAAAGAGUAAUUUUUGCAGAAUUAUAAGAAUUUGCUUUUAACUAAGAGUGCAAGUGCAACAAAACAAAAGGCCUCUUGUGACAUGAGCAAGCUCGAAUUCAUCUGUACAUUCCUAUGCAUCUCUCUCUAUUCCCCCUAGUUUUCAACAAUAUACAGAACUCUCUAACACCGAUCCAUUUUAUGGGUCGGAAGAUAUCUGCAACACCAGUCAAAAAGAAAAUGGAAACAUUUCUGCUAAAAGAAGCUUCUCUCACAGGACGAUGGCAGACAAGAAACACCUUUGCCCGAUGCCUCUCACAGACGUUUCACGCCAACUUUGGCCCUCCUUGUAACAUUCAACCUGUGACAAUACCAAUGGAGGCAUAAGCUAAACGAUGCUCCAAAAGUAAAUCGGAUGAGCAGUUGGUUGACAAAUUUUGAGGACUCAGGGUCAAUCCAACGCCUGGCUGAAAAUUAUACAUGAAUCAUGACAUACAAAAUAGAGGGAGGCAGAAAACUCACUGUGUCUACGAUGCCUUCAUCGGCCUUUACACCUCCGAUCACAUAUAUCGACUCAUUAAGGACAGCGGCGGCAGAAUACCCUCUAGCACAAUUCAUUGGUUCCCCAGCCAUCCAGCAAUCCAGGCGUGGAUCAUACACUUCAACACUCGGAACCAUUGAAUUUCCAUCAAAACCACCCAAGGCAUAUCUAUUGUAGGAGUACAGAUAAGACACAACGCUCAAGAAAACUGAAACUCGAAGUUUAGCAGAGUACAGUAAAGCUAGCUUUAAUUAAUUUACAGUUGAAACAACGACCAGCUAAAUGAACAACUGGAAAAAAGAAAAAAACUAACUAACUAAUUUUGCAGUUCUGUCCUUUAGUUAUGUUAGCAGAACGGAAGAAGAAGGGAGACUACAAGGAAUCUGUUUAUUAGACUUACAUUGUGAGAAAAUACUUAAUACACAAGAAGCACAGACGAGAAACAGUAUCAUGUCCAGGUCAAAGGAGAAUACGACAUGCUUUUCCAGCAUCUAUAGGCAAAUAUCAUCAAAUAAAAUUGAACAGCUGGCAUCAAAAGGAACAUACGGGUAUACUUACAGCUUUUCAUUCAGCGAGACCAGUGAAUGGCAGCCCCUCUUUGUGGUCAAGCUUCCAAUUUUGGCCCAAGAAUGUUCUCUUGGGUCAAAUCUUUCAGCCGAACUGAAAUAAAUCAGCACAGGAAAAAUUACCAACUCUCUGCUGUAGCUAACUCUGAUGUAAAAGAUUUCAUAUGCCAUGCAAGAAAUAUAUAGAUUCUUCUCCUUUAUUGUGAGGAGUAUUAGGUCUACAAGGGUAUUUUUGAAGUUCCAGAUAUGUAAGAGAUAUGGACAUAAAAAUAACUUGCAUUUCACCAGUAAAGGUUUCUUAGGGUAAAAUUGCAAAAGCACUAGUGUUCAUAUGAGGAAUGACACUGCCAUUUUCCAAUCAGCAGCAGCAACAUAUGAAGGGUUAAUCACACGCCAGAUACUUUCACAGGUUGCACAGCAGUUGACAAGAAUGCCCCCCAGAAAAGUAAAUCAACUCAUGUACUCGGAUUUAUCAGGAAAAAGGAUAACAGUCAGUCAAGAGAGUCACAAGAACGAUCGACCACUUCAAAUCACAAAAUAAAAGGUUGAUGAAAAAUUCGUCUCUUA